UACGUAGGGGGCGAGCGUUGUCCGGAUUUAUUGGGCGUAAAGAGCGUGUAGGCGGCCAGGUAGGUCCGUUGUGAAAACUCGAGGCUCAACCUCGAGACGUCGGCGGAAACCCUCUGGCUAGAGUCCGGAAGAGGAGAGUGGAAUUCCUGGUGUAGCGGUGAAAUGCGCAGAUAUCAGGAGGAACACCGGUGGCGAAGGCGGAUCUCUGGGCAGUAACUGACGCUGAGGAGCGAAAGCGUGGGGAGCGAACAGG
RNAcentral lists this ribosomal RNA (253 nucleotides) under uncultured bacterium. RNAcentral's name for it is "partial 16S ribosomal RNA". It matches the Rfam family "Bacterial small subunit ribosomal RNA", at positions 524 to 776 of the family's 1533-position model. The record is from RNAcentral.